GGGAAACUGGGUCUAAUACCGGAUAUGAACUCCUGCCGCAUGGUGGGGGUUGGAAAGUUUUUCGGUGCAGGAUGAGCCCGCGGCCUAUCAGCUUGUUGGUGGGGUAAUGGCCUACCAAGGCGACGACGGGUAGCCGGCCUGAGAGGGUGAUCGGCCACACUGGGACUGAGACACGGCCCAGACUCCUACGGGAGGCAGCAGUGGGGAAUAUUGCACAAUGGGCGAAAGCCUGAUGCAGCGACGCCGCGUGGGGGAUGACGGUCUUCGGAUUGUAAACCCCUUUCAGUAGGGACGAAGCGCAAGUGACGGUACCUGCAGAAGAAGCACCGGCUAACUACGUGCCAGCAGCCGCGGUAAUACGUAGGGUGCGAGCGUUGUCCGGAAUUACUGGGCGUAAAGAGCUCGUAGGCGGUUUGUCACGUCGUCUGUGAAAUCCCUCGGCUUAACCGGGGGCGUGCAGGCGAUACGGGCAGACUUGAGUACUACAGGGGAGACUGGAAUUCCUGGUGUAGCGGUGAAAUGCGCAGAUAUCAGGAGGAACAC
This 543-nucleotide ribosomal RNA is filed under the name Dietzia sp. RNAcentral's name for it is "bacterial SSU rRNA". It matches the Rfam family "Bacterial small subunit ribosomal RNA", at positions 151 to 709 of the family's 1533-position model. The record is from RNAcentral. Lineage: Bacteria; Bacillati; Actinomycetota; Actinomycetes; Mycobacteriales; Dietziaceae.